GCCAGCGUGGCAUAGUGGUUUGAGUGUUGGACUACAAUUCUGAAGGCUAGGGUUCGAUUUCCAGGUCAGCCA
This is a non-coding RNA of Phrynosoma platyrhinos (Desert horned lizard), 72 nucleotides long. The record is from the annotation of a GenBank genome assembly. NCBI's taxonomy places the organism in Eukaryota, Metazoa, Chordata, Lepidosauria, Squamata, Phrynosomatidae.